This 529-nucleotide ribosomal RNA is filed under the name uncultured bacterium. Its description in RNAcentral is "bacterial SSU rRNA". It matches the Rfam family "Bacterial small subunit ribosomal RNA", at positions 777 to 1304 of the family's 1533-position model. The record is from RNAcentral.
AAUAGAUACCCGGGUAGUCCACGCCGUAAACGAUGGGUGCUAAGUGUUAGAGGGUUUCCGCCCUUUAGUGCUGCAGCUAACGCAUUAAGCACUCCGCCUGGGGAGUACGACCGCAAGGUUGAAACUCAAAGGAAUUGACGGGGGCCCGCACAAGCGGUGGAGCAUGUGGUUUAAUUCGAAGCAACGCGAAGAACCUUACCAGGUCUUGACAUCCUCUGACCUCCCUAGAGAUAGGGCCUUCCCCUUCGGGGGACAGAGUGACAGGUGGUGCAUGGUUGUCGUCAGCUCGUGUCGUGAGAUGUUGGGUUAAGUCCCGCAACGAGCGCAACCCUUGACCUUAGUUGCCAGCAUUCAGUUGGGCACUCUAAGGUGACUGCCGGUGACAAACCGGAGGAAGGUGGGGAUGACGUCAAAUCAUCAUGCCCCUUAUGACCUGGGCUACACACGUGCUACAAUGGAUGGUACAAAGGGCUGCGAGACCGCGAGGUUAAGCCAAUCCCAUAAAACCAUUCUCAGUUCGGAUUGCAGG